GUGCGUAUAGCUCUGUGGUAGAGCACAUGCUUAGCAUGCAUGAGGUCCUGGGUUCAAUCCCCAGGACCUCCA
This 72-nucleotide transfer RNA is filed under the name Camelus bactrianus (Bactrian camel). It matches the Rfam family "tRNA". Rfam says of the family: Transfer RNA (tRNA) molecules are approximately 80 nucleotides in length. Their secondary structure includes four short double-helical elements and three loops (D, anti-codon, and T loops). RNAcentral also lists the same sequence under 2 other names. Lineage: Eukaryota; Metazoa; Chordata; Mammalia; Artiodactyla; Camelidae. The record is from Rfam by way of RNAcentral.